RNAcentral lists this ribosomal RNA (253 nucleotides) under uncultured bacterium. RNAcentral's name for it is "partial 16S ribosomal RNA". It matches the Rfam family "Bacterial small subunit ribosomal RNA", at positions 524 to 776 of the family's 1533-position model. The record is from RNAcentral.
UACAGAGGUCUCAAGCGUUGUUCGGAAUUACUGGGCGUAAAGGGCGCGUAGGUGGCCUUCUUAGUCAGACGUGAAAUCCCCAGGCUUAACCUGGGAACUGCGUCUGAUACUGGAAGGCUCGAGUUCGGGAGAGGAAUGUGGAAUUCCAGGUGUAGCGGUGAAAUGCGUAGAUAUCUGGAGGAACACCGGUGGCGAAGGCGGCAUUCUGGACCGAAACUGACGCUGAGGCGCGAAAGCCAGGGGAGCAAACGGG